Non-coding RNA from Hordeum vulgare subsp. vulgare (domesticated barley), 136 nucleotides. The record is from Rfam. Lineage: Eukaryota; Viridiplantae; Streptophyta; Magnoliopsida; Poales; Poaceae.
GUCUUACUGCCUCCAUCCUAAAUUUUUUGUCUUAAAUUUGUUUAGAUACGAAUGUAUCUAGUCAAGUUUUAAUAUUUAAAUACAUUCAUUUAUGAGCAAAGCUAAGACAAGAAUUUUAGGAUGGAGGAAGUAUUUA